Molecule: ribosomal RNA, 427 nt
Filed under: uncultured bacterium
Lineage: Bacteria
Description: bacterial SSU rRNA
Rfam family: Bacterial small subunit ribosomal RNA
Source: RNAcentral
UGAGGAAUUUUGCGCAAUGGCCGCAAGGCUGACGCAGCAACGCCGCGUGGGUGAUGAAGGCCUUCGGGUCGUAAAGCCCUGUCAGGUGGGAAGAAAGGCCUGGAGAGGAAAGGCUUCAGGUUUGACGGUACCACCAGAGGAAGCACCGGCUAACUCCGUGCCAGCAGCCGCGGUAAUACGGAGGGUGCGAGCGUUAUUCGGAAUUACUGGGCGUAAAGCGCGUGUAGGCGGGGAGACAAGUCUGAUGUGAAAGCCCUGGGCUUAACCUGGGAAGCGCAUUGGAAACUGUUUUUCUUGAGUACUGGAGAGGAAGGGGGAAUUCCCGGUGUAGAGGUGAAAUUCGUAGAGAUCGGGAGGAAUACCAGUGGCGUAGGCGCCCUUCUGGACGGUAACUGACGCUGAGACGCGAAAGCGUGGGGAGCAAACA